UGUUAGUCUUAGCGUCCACGACA
RNAcentral lists this small RNA (23 nucleotides) under Arabidopsis thaliana (thale cress). RNAcentral's name for it is "ATSL252510". The record is from RNAcentral. Lineage: Eukaryota; Viridiplantae; Streptophyta; Magnoliopsida; Brassicales; Brassicaceae.